Molecule: non-coding RNA, 21 nt
Filed under: Arabidopsis thaliana (thale cress)
Lineage: Eukaryota; Viridiplantae; Streptophyta; Magnoliopsida; Brassicales; Brassicaceae
Source: RNAcentral
GAAGGCCAACCCGCUGCUCCA